CUACGGGCGGCUCCAGUGGGGAAUAUUGCACAAUGGAGGAAACUCUGAUGCAGCAACGCCGCGUGGAGGAUGACACUUUUCGGAGCGUAAACUCCUUUUAUAUAGGAAGAAGAUGACGGUACUAUAUGAAUAAGCGCCGGCUAACUCCGUGCCAGCAGCCGCGGUAAUACGGAGGGCGCAAGCGUUACUCGGAAUCACUGGGCGUAAAGAGCGUGUAGGCGGAUUAAAAAGUCAGAAGUGAAAUCCUAUAGCUUAACUAUAGAACUGCUUCUGAAACUCUUAAUCUAGAAUAUGGGAGAGGUAGAUGGAAUUUCUGGCGUAGGGGUAAAAUCCGUAGAGAUCAGAAGGAAUACCGAUUGCGAAGGCGAUCUACUAGAACAUUAUUGACGCUGAGACGCGAAAGCGUGGGGAGCAAACAGGAUUAGAUACCCGCGUAGUC
This 439-nucleotide ribosomal RNA is filed under the name uncultured bacterium. RNAcentral's name for it is "partial 16S ribosomal RNA". It matches the Rfam family "Bacterial small subunit ribosomal RNA", at positions 339 to 795 of the family's 1533-position model. The record is from RNAcentral.